CAGGCCUUAUCCUCUCAUUUCAUCGUGCGCUCGUCGACUUACUCAUACCGCGCUUGCUCAAACCACAAACGCAAGAUAUGCUGGCACUCAGGUGAGGACGUGCAGUAGUGUUGGCUAUUUUAGAGUUGCUGUUGCUAUCGUCGUUCCAAUUGUCAUCAAUGUUCCAAUUGCCAAAGGGAGAACUUCUUGUUCACCAGGGCUUCUUAGGAUGCUUGUGCUGACAGAUUUUUUUUAUUAUUAAAACAUCGAAGCUGUUAAAAUUACGACAAGUAUGCAAAGCACAGUGGUGACAAAAUGGAUGCCAAGCAAAGGUCAAGGAAGGACAACAGGAAGCUAUUUCACAUUAAUUAAUGCCUUAGCAGAAGGUUAUAGAUUGGAUGAAGCUGAAGAACUUUGGAUAAAAUUGUUAAUGCAGAACAUGGAAAGCUUGUCUCGUAGGUUCUUUGAUAAAAUGAUAUCCAUCUACUAUAAGAGGGGCAUGCAGAAGAUGUUUGAGGUAGUCGCACAUUAGGUGAGACAAUCCUAACUCCAGAGUAACAUGCUAAUAGUGCAAAUUCUUUCAAGCAACUAGAUCUAAAUGGUGGUGAAAAAUAACUAUGUUAUUUCCUUAGUUUUUUUUUUUUUUUAUAUGUAUGAGAUACUUUUAGAACUCUUGUUAAGUUUAUUACUCUACUCUCUUAUAAUACCACAUGACUUUUAAUAUGUGGUUAACAUAUUGAACCAUUAUGUUAUAACUUUUUAUAUAUGGUUAAUAAAUUGAAUCACUUAUCUUA
Molecule: long non-coding RNA, 773 nt
Organism: Prosopis cineraria
Lineage: Eukaryota; Viridiplantae; Streptophyta; Magnoliopsida; Fabales; Fabaceae
Exons: 4
Source: RefSeq, a predicted model, not a curated record